AGUUGCUUACAGGAAAUGUAACUGCAGGGCAAUAAAAUUGAUAAGCACAAUUAGAUAAAAGCGAGAUGGGUUAAGAAGAGACAAAACCAAGUGCAUAACGCACCCAAUGCUCCAAAAGAAAAAGGGCAGGAGAAGGAAGUGCCAUAAGUGAAUCCAAAGCAGAGAAACCCAUGCAAGAAAGAAAGAGAGAAGGAAGAAGAGCCAAGA
Molecule: unclassified non-coding RNA, 207 nt
Filed under: Hevea brasiliensis (rubber tree)
Lineage: Eukaryota; Viridiplantae; Streptophyta; Magnoliopsida; Malpighiales; Euphorbiaceae
Source: RNAcentral